Molecule: ribosomal RNA, 253 nt
Filed under: uncultured bacterium
Lineage: Bacteria
Description: partial 16S ribosomal RNA
Rfam family: Bacterial small subunit ribosomal RNA
Source: RNAcentral
UACGAAGGGUGCAAGCGUUACUCGGAAUUACUGGGCGUAAAGCGUGCGUAGGUGGUUCGUUAAGUCUGAUGUGAAAGCCCUGGGCUCAACCUGGGAAUGGCGGUGGAUACUGGAAAGCUGGAGUGCGGUAGAGGAGGGUGGAAUUCCCGGUGUAGCGGUGAAAUGCGUAGAGAUCGGGAGGAACAUCAGUGGCGAAGGCGGCCCUCUGGACCAGCACUGACGCUGAGGCACGAAAGCGUGGGGAGCAAACAGG